GGUGGUUGCUGUGGGGAUAAGGAAGAGGCAGUGCCUAGAGGAGCUGCCUACAGGAAACAUCAAGGAGGAUCAAGAGAGAGAGAGAAAGGGGCUGACAAGGAGAGCCGCAUCCUGAAAAGACUCUGGCACAUCUGUGAAAUCAGCCAGCCUGAGAAAAACAAUACCCGGAUCUCUGGGAGAUAAUAGGGGACAGCUCUGCACACCAUGAGACAGGCUCUGCUCACACUGGUUUUGCAUCUGCUCUUUCCCUGACAACAGCUAUGGGGUUAAAUUUAUCCUGAUGAAAUGACAGCCUUUUCAUACUGGCAGCCAACCCACAUGUGAAGGAAAAGUAUGGCACUGUGGACAACUUAGUCUUCAACAUGAGUAAUGGAAGGAGAGCCUUACCUGAGCUCUUGAUGGGGAACAGGUGAAAUAACAAAAUUACUUGAAUGACUUGAGAUUUCAUGCAGAAAUCCUUCCAAUCAGGGAUUUCAUAGCAUUUCACCAAUGACAAAUUGUAUCCACUAAUACUGCCACCAGGUCAGUAAAUUGUUACAAAACACCUUUUACCAAAACAACAGGAAGAGAUUUGUUCACACACAGAAUGAAAUUGGUUCUUUGGUGACAGAACAUCUUGUCAAUGCACCACUUAAAUAUAAGCCUUGUGAUGAAAGCAUUUAAGAUCUAAAUUAAAGACUAAAAGGUAAAUUUUACUUACUUUUC
Zonotrichia leucophrys gambelii is the source of this 705-nucleotide long non-coding RNA. RefSeq lists it as uncharacterized. Lineage: Eukaryota; Metazoa; Chordata; Aves; Passeriformes; Passerellidae. The transcript is spliced from 3 exons. The record is from RefSeq and is a predicted model, not a curated record.